RNAcentral lists this ribosomal RNA (390 nucleotides) under uncultured bacterium. RNAcentral's name for it is "bacterial SSU rRNA". It matches the Rfam family "Bacterial small subunit ribosomal RNA", at positions 372 to 776 of the family's 1533-position model. The record is from RNAcentral.
UGGGGGGAACCCUGAUCCAGCGACGCCGCGUGAGUGAAGAAGUAUUUCGGUAUGUAAAGCUCUAUCAGCAGGGAAGAAAGAAAUGACGGUACCUGACCAAGAAGCCCCGGCUAACUACGUGCCAGCAGCCGCGGUAAUACGUAGGGGGCAAGCGUUAUCCGGAUUUACUGGGUGUAAAGGGAGCGUAGACGGUAAUGCAAGUCUGAAGUGAAAUGCAGGGGCUCAACCCCUGAACUGCUUUGGAAACUGUAGGACUGGAGUGCAGGAGAGGUAAGUGGAAUUCCUAGUGUAGCGGUGAAAUGCGUAGAUAUUAGGAGGAACACCAGUGGCGAAGGCGGCUUACUGGACUGUAACUGACGUUGAGGCUCGAAAGCGUGGGGAGCAAACAGG